AUUGAACGCUGGCGGCAGGCCUAACACAUGCAAGUCGAGCGGAUGAAGGGAGCUUGCUCCUGGAUUCAGCGGCGGACGGGUGAGUAAUGCCUAGGAAUCUGCCUGGUAGUGGGGGAUAACGUCCGGAAACGGGCGCUAAUACCGCAUACGUCCUGAGGGAGAAAGUGGGGGAUCUUCGGACCUCACGUUAUCAGAUGAGCCUAGGUCGGAUUAGCUAGUUGGUGGGGUAAGGGCCUACCAAGGCGACGAUCCGUAACUGGUCUGAGAGGAUGAUCAGUCACACUGGAACUGAGACACGGUCCAGACUCCUACGGGAGGCAGCAGUGGGGAAUAUUGGACAAUGGGCGAAAGCCUGAUCCAGCCAUGCCGCGUGUGUGAAGAAGGUCUUCGGAUUGUAAAGCACUUUAAGUUGGGAGGAAGGGCAGUAAGUUAAUACCUUGCUGUUUUGACGUUACCAACAGAAUAAGCACCGGCUAACUUCGUG
RNAcentral lists this ribosomal RNA (484 nucleotides) under uncultured bacterium. Its description in RNAcentral is "partial 16S ribosomal RNA". It matches the Rfam family "Bacterial small subunit ribosomal RNA", at positions 30 to 507 of the family's 1533-position model. The record is from RNAcentral.